CUGGGGUCACCCAGGUUGCAUGGCAGUCAGGGGCCCUUACCCACUGAGCCUACUUAUUUAUAUGUUCAUUUGAAAUACUGUGCUGUGAUACCUCUCCUAUAAAUUCACAGUGCACACUUAGCACUUUGAAAGUCUGUGAAGUUGGGAAAUUGAUUUAACUUUGAUCCAGGUUUUAAAGUUUACUUUAAAAAAAGGACAUUGAAUCUUUAAAAAUAAAAAAAAAAGAAACAACAGCAAAAAUGUUUUGGGGAUGAUGUGAACCUGUAAUGCCAUCACUUGGGAAGCUGAGGCAAAGGGUAUUAAGUUCAAGGCAGCCUAAGCUGUGUAUGGUAAAAUCCUAACAUGCUUUGGCUUGGGGCUUGAGGAGAAGGGAUCCACCAACUCUAGGCAGCUGCUUGGCAGUUGGAGCAUGAGGUUUCCUGGUAGUAGCUGGACAUUCCAAAGGGCCCCAGGCUUCCCCACACUGACAAUUGCAUGAGCCUGUGGGAGAUAUUCCACAUCUAAACCAUAGUGGGAACUGUCAUACAGAGUCCUCAAGCCAGCAGGGACUAGUGGUCUUGGGCACUACUGUCAAGUAGAUGGAGUUCCUGGGAAUGGAAGACCAAACCAAGCAGCUUGGGGCUUUGGGUAGGUACUGUUGGUUUUUAUUUACUAAUCCAUGUUCUCAGAUGGUCGGUGUGCUUGGCGGUUUUUAUUCCAUAAAGCAAAACUUUGAUCCUUGAAAAGCCCUUUGAGAUAAUCUCAUCCUGCCUCUGCCAGUUGGAGGAACUCAUUGUGCAAAGGUUGAAUACGUUACUUUCCAAAGGUCAAACACUUAGGGAUUCUGGCCUGUUAAGUCUUCCAGCAUUAGGUUGGAAGGUCCCAGUGCCGGUUACUAGAGGGAGUCCCUGAGUUGUGAGACUUUGUCAGUGUUGUCUUCCAGAAUGGGGGAGGAUAAGAACAAAAGUUGAUGUUGAAUUUCUUACCAAUUUUGACUCUGAUAGAAGGAGUGUAAGAGGUGUCCUUGAAGCCUUGGGAAAAGCAGGAAUCACACAUGACUGUUGGAAGAAAUUCCUUUGCACAGCUAAAAGUGAUAAGCUUCCAUCGAAAGAGGCCACAGAAAACAUGAGGGGAUCCGAAGCAGUGAAGGACUGACAGCCAGCUAGAGAGUACCUCAGUCAUUCCCAUGUUCUAUAGGCAGUGCAUUCUCAUUGGUUGCAGGAAGUUUCUGGUUACCACAGCUACAAGUCUGAAUUUUGAGUGUUGACAUCUGAAGGUUCCAAGUUAUUUUUGCUUCAAUUUAUGUUUUUCUUCCUUCGUGGGGGCAAAAGUAACCCUUGCUUAUUAAUUGGUAUGUGAAAUUGAAUCAUUUUGUUGUGAUAGGUUGCUUUUCUGUUCAUCUCAGGCAUUUUGUCCUCAUUUUUACGAAACCCAGUCUCCUGUGAAACAGUACAUAAUGCUGUGUCACAAACAUGGAUUUAAAUGAAGUCAAGCAUACAGAAGAUGAGACUUACGUUUUUUUUAAAUUUCAUUUUUUAAAUUUUUAAUGUGCAUUGGUGGUUUUCCUGUGUGUAUGUCUGUGUGAGGGAGUUACACAUUCUAGUGUGUGUGGAUCCUGGAUAUACAGACAGUGAUGAUCUGCCAUGUGGGUGCUGGGAACUGAGCCCAGGUCCUUUAGAACAGCCAGUGUUCUCUCUCCACUAAGCCAUCUCUCCAGCCUGAGACUAAGUCUUAUUUCAACAACAAAAAAAAGAAGUCUCCCAUUGGAUCCGUAGACCCGAAGGUCAUCUCAUAAUGAGGAAUUUCCUGUCAACUGCUUUUUCAUGACUGCCUCAGGAUGGUGCAUGACGGUCCUGUAUUUUCAAGGCUCCUUCAGAGACAGAAAACUUGUUUGUUUUUGUCGAGGAAUCUUUGAUGUCAUGUGAGGAUAUUACAAAAAGUGUUGUACUUUCUGUCUACACUGGAGUCAAGAGAGUGGGCCACAGAGAACUACUUGGCUGCAUUGAGUUCCUCCCCUGGCUGAGCCUCUGCUGCUAGGAGCAUGAGCGGCUCGGCCUUGUUCUAGAAAGCCCAUGUGAUGUCCAUGUGGUGAAGUGACCAUUUUCCCCUCAGACAAACCAUACAGUGCGUAUGUUUGUGCCUUUCCUGUGUGUUACUCCAGAAAGUGAGGUAAAUGCUGUCAGUUACCACACUUUGUCCAGGUGACAGAUCUUUUCGUCUGCCUGUCCAUCCGUCCAUCCAUCCUUCCUUCCUUCGUCUUUUUCUUUUAAAGAGGGAGUUGGUUUAUUUUGUUUCAAGGGCAUAGUUCAUCAUGGUGGGAUGUCAGGACAGCAGGGAUUUGAGGCUGCUGGCCACACCACACCCACAGUCAAGAAACAGAGAACAAGAUUGAAGUUUCUUAAUGGUUUUUAGAGACCAACUGAUUUGCCCAAAUCAUGAAGUAACUGUCCAUGGCUGACCCUGUGUCUGCAGUGGUUUUUCUUCCUUCAAAAGAGAACAGGUGACCCUCCAAAGGACAAACUCCAGAACCUUCCUGCUAUUGGAAAACAUGUCCAUCUUAAAAUCUCAGUACUUACUGGGAGAGAACAUAGGAACAGACAGGAGAUGGAGGGACUGGCUGCUUGACUGUAUGUAAUUCCACCACCACCCCCUUUUCCUUGUAUCUAGUGGCACCAGAUUCAUUUGGAGUUGUUCCGUGUUGAUUGUGGUCUGUAAGUGAGGUCUCUUGGUCUGCAGUGUGCACUGUAUCUGUAGAGGGAAGUCAGAUGUUCACACUCCAUAAAAACACAGCUUAGGUAAUACAAGAUGUAUUUGUUGACUUUCAGAGCAUCCAGAUGUGGCUUAUGAGAUGGAGGUGGCUAUCAUUUAUCUGAGAGGCAUCCAUACCUCCUUGUAGAACCUGUAUCUCAGUCAAUGGGUCCCCAGACUGUUGGAUUGCAGCAGCAUCCCUCAAGACUCCUGAAUUAAAAAGUGGGCAGAUGGACGCACUUGGUCAGUGCUGUUAGGUGUGUAGUAUGCGGAGCUAACCUGCAAGCAUGAUACCUGGUAGUGUGGCCAGAAACCAAUAGGGAUCAGAAUUAGGACCAAGUUCUAAUGCAAGAAGCAACUUGGGGCUAGCGACAUAGCACUGAGGCUGUGCCGUAUGCUGAAUGCUGUCUCUCCAAGGAUUGCAGGGGGCAAGUGCAGGAAGGUGCCACCAUUUAACUUUUAAACACACAGAUGGGUUUGGUGAUGCAGAGAGCAGGAACCAGUCUCCAUUUUGGGUGCAUGAUUGACCUAGAGCUAGUAAUUAAUUAGAAGGAUGUUUUAGAGGUUCUGUCUAGAAUUUCUUCUCAUUUACUAUAGUGGGGUUUCAUGUGUGAAUUUGUGUUGUCAGCCAGGGGAAGGCUGAUAGAAACGCCAGACUGAAAAGACCUACAAAGAAAGGACCCUUCCAGAUUGCUAGUGCUGUGUCAGCUUGGGUCUUGUCAGUCAUGGUCCACAUCUGUAUUCCAAAGCACUCAAGAAGUGGAGAAAUAGGCAAGAGGACUUUGAACUCAAGGUCAGCCUGGGCUACAUUGGGAGACUGUGCACAAAUAUACUAAGUCUUUCUGGCCAGCCACCACUCUGUCCUACAUCAUGGUCCUCUUCUACUCAGUGACCUCUAUCCUGGAUUUGUGCAUUAAGUCAUUUGAGAGAAUUCUGGGGUCAGUGUUCACCACAUCACCAAGCCAGAUUUGUGUUGUCUCUGCUUCCUCCUUGCCAGAUCUUCUGUGAGUGAAUACAAUCUGCUGUGGAUUAUUUGCUAUUGAAAAACAUUUUGGUUAGACAGGUUGUAGUUAUAUAGCCCAUGCCUGCCUCAGCUUUGCAUCACCAGUGUUUCCUAAAUUCAGUUUGAUACAGAAACAGCUGGAUAGAACAGUGAAGACAAGAGCAUUGAGUUGCAGCAGGUGUUUAGUGCUUGCAAGGAUUAGUGUUGUGAACUAGCUGGUCCCUAAGGUAUUGUGAGAUGUGAUCUUCCUGCAGUGGGCCAUAACUCAGAAAUGCAUUGAUGCCCACUGGGGACUUGCCUUGUGGUGCUUGAAAUCUACAUAAUUCUUAAACUCUAAGAAAUGGCAUGGACCAAAAAUAGAGAUUGGAAGAUGCUACCUGUCGGUGAAACAUCUUGACUCAAGUGGGAGCAUGGGUAUUCUUGGU
Molecule: long non-coding RNA, 4155 nt
Filed under: Cricetulus griseus (Chinese hamster)
Lineage: Eukaryota; Metazoa; Chordata; Mammalia; Rodentia; Cricetidae
Description: lncRNA (ENSCGRG00015037017.1)
Source: RNAcentral